Molecule: ribosomal RNA, 611 nt
Filed under: Bacillus sp. CSu4_33
Lineage: Bacteria; Bacillati; Bacillota; Bacilli; Caryophanales; Bacillaceae
Description: bacterial SSU rRNA
Rfam family: Bacterial small subunit ribosomal RNA
Source: RNAcentral
UGCAGUCGAGCGGACCGACGGGAGCUUGCUCCCUUAGGUCAGCGGCGGCACUUGUGAGUAACACGUGGGUAACCUGCCUGUAAGACUGGGACCUCUUCGAGAAACCGGGGCUAAUACCGGAUGCUUGAUUGAACCGCAUGGUUCAAUCAUGAAAGGCGGCUUCGGCUGCCGUUUACCGAUGGACCCGCGGCGCAUUAGCUAGUUGGUGAGGUAACGGCUCACCAAGGCGACGAUGCGUAGCCGACCUGAGAGGGUGAUCGGCCACACUGGGACUGAGACACGGCCCAGACUCCUACGGGAGGCAGCAGUAGGGAAUCUUCCGCAAUGGACGAAAGUCUGACGGAGCAACGCCGCGUGAGUGAUGAAGGUUUUCGGAUCGUAAAGCUCUGUUGUUAGGGAAGAACAAGUACCGUUCGAAUAGGGCGGUACCUUGACGGUACCUAACCAGAAAGCCACGGCUAACUACGUGCCAGCAGCCGCGGUAAUACGUAGGUGGCAAGCGUUGUCCGGAAUUAUUGUGCGUAAAGCGCGCGCAGGCGGUUUCUUACGUCUGAUGUGAAAGCCCCCGGCUCAACCGGGGAGGGUCAUUGGAAACUGGGGAACUUGAGUGC